GGGGCCGUAGCUCAGUUGGCUAGAGCGCUACCAUGGCAUGGUAGAGGUCGUGGGUUCAAGCCCCACCGGCUCCACCA
RNAcentral lists this transfer RNA (77 nucleotides) under Candidatus Cloacimonadota bacterium. RNAcentral's name for it is "tRNA-Ala". It matches the Rfam family "tRNA". Rfam says of the family: Transfer RNA (tRNA) molecules are approximately 80 nucleotides in length. The record is from RNAcentral. Lineage: Bacteria; Pseudomonadati; Candidatus Cloacimonadota.